AAUGCAAGUCGACGCCUUGUCGUUCAACUGAUUUAGAGAGCUUGCUCGAAGAAGACGUUGAACAAUGCAAGGAGUGGCGAACGGGUGAGUAACACGUGGGAAACCUACCUCUUAGUAGGGGAUAACAUCUGGAAACAGGUGCUAAUACCGCAUAACAACGAUAACCGCAUGGUUAUCGCUUGAAAGGUGGCGUAAGCUACCGCUAAGAGAUGGUCCCGCGGUGCAUUAGUUAGUUGGUGAGGUAAAGGCUCACCAAGACGAUGAUGCAUAGCCGAGUUGAGAGACUGAUCGGCCACAAUGGGACUGAGACACGGCCCAUACUCCUACGGGAGGCAGCAGUAGGGAAUCUUCCACAAUGGACGAAAGUCUGAUGGAGCAACGCCGCGUGUGUGAUGAAGGGUUUCGGCUCGUAAAACACUGUUGUAAGAGAAGAAUGAUACUAAGAGUAACUGUUUAGUAUGUGACGGUAUCUUACCAGAAAGGAACGGCUAAAUACGUGCCAGCAGCCGCGGUAAUACGUAUGUUCCAAGCGUUAUCCGGAUUUAUUGGGCGUAAAGCGAGCGCAGACGGUUGUUUAAGUCUGAAGUGAAAGCCCACAGCUUAACUGUGGAAGUGCUUUGGAAACUGGAUAACUUGAGUGCAGUAGAGGAAAGUGGAACUCCAUGUGUAGCGGUGAAAUGCGUAGAUAUAUGGAAGAACACCAGCGGCGAAGGCGGCUUUCUGGACUGUAACUGACGUUGAGGCUCGAAAGUGUGGGUAGCAAACAGGAUUAGAUACCCUGGUAGUCCACACCGUAAACGAUGAGUGCUAGAUGUUUGGGGGUUUCCGCCCCUAAGUGUCGUAGCUAACGCAUUAAGCACUCCGCCUGGGGAGUACGACCGCAAGGUUGAAACUCAAAGGAAUUGACGGGGACCCGCACA
This 920-nucleotide ribosomal RNA is filed under the name Weissella halotolerans. RNAcentral describes it as "bacterial SSU rRNA". It matches the Rfam family "Bacterial small subunit ribosomal RNA", at positions 54 to 927 of the family's 1533-position model. The record is from RNAcentral. Lineage: Bacteria; Bacillati; Bacillota; Bacilli; Lactobacillales; Lactobacillaceae.